UUUUUUCAUUAUUAUAAUUUUCUUGCAACUCGUAAUUAGUUCAUUUUGCUCAAGAAUAACUCGUCACCCCACCUAAAUAAAUAUGUGAUCCCAAAAAUCAGUUUUAAUUGAUAAAAUGGCUAACAAGAAUCUGAUCAUAGCAACUCUUUUGGCCAUCAUCUUCGUAUUGUCUCUUGCCUCGAUGUGCGAUGCAUCUCGACUUAGUUAUCAAGGUACAAUAUUAAUAUUAGUAAUCUCAUUAAUUACGUAUAUCAUACAACUAAUCUUUAUGUUUCAUUUCAUCAAUUUUAUUCUUUCUUAUCUCCAAAACUAUGCAGAAUUUGGCGCUAAGUUAGAAAAAUGUGGCCCGUGUUUCUGUUGCCAACAGAAUAAUCCGCUGUGCUGCCUCUGCGCCUGCCCCGUGCCGCCGUGAAAAGCUACAGUUUGAGACCAGAUUUUUCUGCUUCAUUAAUUAUGAUUAGUAUGAGGAUGUAAUAAACUUGAUUUGGUUUGUUGUUUGAUGAAUAAAUUUAUGUUCCGUAAAUAGUCAUUUCUUGUUCAUUCAUGAUAUAAGAGAAUCAGUGAAGG
Molecule: long non-coding RNA, 567 nt
Filed under: Salvia miltiorrhiza (redroot sage)
Lineage: Eukaryota; Viridiplantae; Streptophyta; Magnoliopsida; Lamiales; Lamiaceae
Description: long non-coding RNA (SMIL_LNC007192)
Source: RNAcentral